CUAAAUUCUCGACGGUGGAUAUCUUGGCUUCCGUUUCGAUGAAGAACGCAGCGAAGUGCGAUAAGCAAUGUGAAUUGCAGAACCGUGAAUCAUUAGAGUUUUGAACGCA
RNAcentral lists this ribosomal RNA (109 nucleotides) under Apodiophrys ovalis. RNAcentral's name for it is "5.8S ribosomal RNA". It matches the Rfam family "5.8S ribosomal RNA", at positions 1 to 108 of the family's 154-position model. From Rfam's summary of the family: 5.8S ribosomal RNA (5.8S rRNA) is a component of the large subunit of the eukaryotic ribosome. The record is from RNAcentral. Lineage: Eukaryota; Ciliophora; Spirotrichea; Euplotida; Uronychiidae.